Molecule: long non-coding RNA, 207 nt
Filed under: Mytilus galloprovincialis (Mediterranean mussel)
Lineage: Eukaryota; Metazoa; Mollusca; Bivalvia; Mytilida; Mytilidae
Source: RNAcentral
GCCAUUUUGAAAAAUCCCGAAAAAUUCCCUUUUUUAAAACGAUGUUUGACAGACUUUGACUUGAAAUUAAACUGUUUUAAGUAGUAUUCUUCGCCAGAUAUAUGUUUAAAUAUACUUAAUCGAUUUGCAAAGUUUGAUUUUUAUGUACGGAAUUUCUUUAUUUGUUGUACAAGUAGACAUGGGUAUCGGUAAUUUAGCAUGGAGGCA